This is a long non-coding RNA of Centruroides sculpturatus (bark scorpion), 2828 nucleotides long. RefSeq lists it as uncharacterized. The transcript has 3 exons. NCBI's taxonomy places the organism in Eukaryota, Metazoa, Arthropoda, Arachnida, Scorpiones, Buthidae. The record is from RefSeq and is a predicted model, not a curated record.
UGUACAUCAUACUUUUCCUUCAACUAUAGACUUGUGCCGCUCGCCUAUUAACUGCUUUCGGGGGGUUUGAAUUGAAAAAACGUGACUUCCGGUUUGUAUCGGAAGUUCAUUGGAACUUCCUGUCCCUAAGGUUUCCAUCACGGAUUUCAUCUAACUUCAUUCUCGAGAUUAAGACGGCGUAGGACGUGCUUUUCUCGCGCUGUUGGAUUGUGUGCCCUUUUUUUCUGCUGUUUGCGGAGUUUUCGAAGGAAAAUUAAAGAUUUUUCAGGUAAGUCUUAGUCCGUAUUGACCCUAGACGUAAGAAUUUAUUUAAUAUUACUUGGAGAAUCGGUUCCAGAAGACAUCUCGGCACGUCGUUCGAUGGUCGACCGUUUGCGCUUCGGAUUCGAAUCUUUUAGAUUUAAAAAGAAUGUUUGCGUGGUUUCGCCGGAGGUUCCGACGGAAGAAUGCGGUGGCGCCGGAAGGAGGGGGUUCAUCGGACGGAUCCGAUGAGACGUUCGAGGACCGCGGGUUCGACUGGGUCUCUGCCGAAUCGAUUGGUUCGUUGUGGGAAAAAAAACCAUCGAGCAAGAGGCAGUGGGUGACGACUUUUCCCAAGUGCGUUUGGAGUGGCAUUCUCCCGGAGGUGGGAGAGUUCCGAGUCCAUUCCACUUGGCCAAGAUCGUCAGGGAUCAGCCGGCCACAGAUCUUGUUGUGGAGGACAUAGGGAGUGACAGCUAGUCCGAGUCCUUUUCUUGGAGUUCUAUGUCACUCCCUAUUUUCGCGAGAUCUGCCUCUUCCUCCGCUAGAUCGGCAUCAUCUUUUGGAAGCCGGAACGGGGAAAAAUCGGAGAAGAGAGCCACCCAAGUCGAGAAACCGUAAUGUCUGCGAUUUUGUUGCUAUGGGUGGCUGCGGUUCCCUUGGCCUAAGCAGUGAUCCUCUUCGAUUUUUCCCAACUCGCCCUUUGCACCCGGAUGCGACAUUCUGACCAGGUUCAACACUUUUCACUAGGACACGACACCUUUACUCGGGCGUGGCCUUCUCUUACUCGGAUGUUCUCAUGGACUUGUCUCCCAAACGUGACACUCGAUCGACGACAAUGGAUUUGACGACAAACAUUCGGCCGACCUUUCUUCCCAAACAGCUGUUUUGAGGAUUGAGCUUCCGAUUAUGGUAGGUUAAGUUAGGCUAAAUCAAGUCCUUCGCUCUUCUCAUAACACUGUUCGGGAAGAAAGACUGUCUGAUAAAGGUAAUAAUGUUGGCCUUAGGUAAUAAAUGAAUGAACUUCUCGAUUUCUCACUGCCUUUGUGUUUUGUAGGAACAUUUGGGAGGGAGAAGAAUCUCCCUCCCCAACUUUACCACCAAGAGGACAAAGUGAACAUUUAUCGUACAAGUGAAUAUUUUCCGAUGACAUGCCGAAGAUGUUCUUCGAUCACACACAUUCAUAUACAUGCACGGUAGUAACGUCACUGUACACGAAGAUAUACACCGUUUAACCUUUACUCGAAUUCUUACACGUCAAGAGCCUCGUUCUGUGUAAUUCAACACAAUGAAACAACCUGAACACUCGCUUCCCACAAAUCCAACCCCUGGGUCCUCGUCCCGGGAAGUAGACUUAUUUAAAGUCUUUUAAUUUAAAAAAUUAAAAGACUUUAAAUUGGCGGCCGAAGGGGCUCUGGUAAUCACACAACUUGCGUGGAUUAAAUGAAAUUUCACACAUUAACAUCAAUAAUCGUUUUGUGAUGAAUUUUUCUGUUAAAACAAAUUAUGUUAUCAAAGCUUUAAUAGUCAUAAAUAACUUGAAACCAAUAGAAGGGCAGUGAAAAAAUUAAUUAGUCAAAUUAUUCAAAAAAACAAAAUAAAAAAAAACAAUUGAUAUCCAAAGUAAAACAUUCGAGAUGUAAAAAAAGCCGAGAUUAAAACAUUUCUCUUUAUUUCGCCUAUUUAACAAUGCAUUUCGGAUUGGUAAUUUUCCAAUCCCUCUUUGGGCUCACGGCUUCAGUGUCUAAAUUGUCUACAACAUAACGAAAAAACUCGGCAAAUAUAAUCAGGUGUGUUUAGUAGUAUAAGUAACGAAAAAAGAUUAGUUCGUCUUAUAUAUAGAGAAUAUAUACUGUAUAUAUAAAGUAGGCCUACUACUAUUUGUAUAUACACUAUAUAUACACACAUACAUACAUGGAAUAUACAAAACACUGUGUCUCGUCUAUCUAUAAUUUAUGCUCAAUUCGGCCCAACUAUCGAAAAGUUUGGGCAUCAUAAAUAAACAAAAAAUCAUGUUAUACUAUGAACUUGGUGUGUAUUUAGUGUCAAUUCUCUAUCAAUAAAAGCGCACGGAAUAAUGCUCACAGCUUCAAUUGACAAAUCGAGAGGCCAAAAAUCAUGAGCACAAGUGUAUAUUAUGCUCUUCCACACUAGUAAGCACGAAAAAAAGGGGGAAUUCCUUUGGGUAUUCACGCGGUUCUUUAAAGAUCGCGGGAAUUUUUAACUGUAAUUCAGUCCUAUGAUUAAAAUUUUGGCCUAAAUUGUAAUUGCCGAAAAAAUUAACUCGGUUAAUUAACAGUUUAGUAAUUAUUAAGAAAAUAUAAGCAAUUUCCAUUGGAAAAUUUUCAUUAUAAUAUAGAAUUAGAACUUAACGUUUUAUCAAACAUUAAUGUUUUUUUAUUACUUUCAAAACUAUUUCAAAUUAAAGUAAAAAACAAAGUCGACAGGAAUUAUCUAAAAUCAACACGAGAUAAAACGAAAGUGUUAUAUUUGAUGUCAUUAGACUAUAUACGGUGAGUUCUUCCUUAUCUUUAUUAACCACCGACCGACUACUUCUUAAGAUAUGAUUGGGUUUAUUCAUUCACGUG